Long non-coding RNA from Paramormyrops kingsleyae, 424 nucleotides. RefSeq lists it as uncharacterized. NCBI's taxonomy places the organism in Eukaryota, Metazoa, Chordata, Actinopteri, Osteoglossiformes, Mormyridae. The record is from RefSeq and is a predicted model, not a curated record.
GAAUCAUUCUUGUAGUCCUACGUUGAACCUUUUUCAAGACAGCAAUGUCCUUCUUAAGGAGCUUAACUCCCCUUUCUAGGGAACUUGUGGACUCGAGGGAUGGUAUCCACAGGAGACCGGGAACAUUUAAAAGCCAGGCGGGUGCCAUAGUAGGCACUCAGAGAACGGACUUCACCAUGUCGGUGCAGGUCAGGAACAGGAACUGGUCCAGGGGGUGGUAACGCAAGUCUCCCCCGAGCAGAAGGUCCACCACCAUGAACAUGUCCUCCUCAUCCUGAAAGGAGUACCUGGAAGGUAAAGAGGAGGCACCACUCACAAUGAAAAUCGGACUGCUUUAAGCUGGACGCCAGACUUGUUCUAAUACAAAGAAAGUUCUCUCUGUGUACACAGGAAACAGUGUUAUUUCCUUGUGUUAAAAUUUUGA